UUCUGACCGUAAACGAUGCCAACUAGCGAUCCGCCGGUGGCUCUUUGGCCCUGGUGGGGAGCUUCCCGGAAACGAAAGUCUUCCGGUUCCGGGGGAAGUAUGGUUGCAAAGCUGAAACUUAAAGGAAUUGACGGAAGGGCACCACCAGGAGUGGAGCCUGCGGCUUAAUUUGACUCAACACGGGAAAACUCACCCGGCCCGGACACCGUGAGGAUUGACAGAUUGAUAGCUUUUUCAUGAUUCGGUGGUUGGUGGUGCAUGGCCGUUCUUAGUUCGUGGAUCGAUUUGUCUGGUUUAUUCCGAUAACGAGCGAGACUCCAGCCUACUAACUAGUGCUGGCAUUGCCUCUGUGCUCUGCACUUCUUAGAGGGAUUGGCUGCGUCUAGCGGCACGAAACGGAGCAAUAACAGGUCUGUGAUGCCCUUAGAUGUCCGGGGCUGCACGCGCGCUACACUGGCAAAAGCAGCGUGCUUGUCCGCCUCCGAAAGGAGCCGGUAAACCCUUGAAAAUUUGCCGUGAUUGGGAUCGGAAAUUGCAAUUAUUUUCCGUGAACGAGGAAUUCCUAGUAAGUGCGAGUCAUCAGCUCGCGUUGAUUACGUCCCUGCCCUUUGUACACACCGCCCGUCGCUGCCUAGAACUGAGCCAUUUCGAGAAUAUUCGGGAUCGCUGGUUGCGGGUCCUUCGGGGCACGCCUCCGGCAAGAGAACGAACGUAAUCGCAGUGGCUUGAACCGGGCAAAAGU
Molecule: ribosomal RNA, 742 nt
Filed under: Hemicriconemoides wessoni
Lineage: Eukaryota; Metazoa; Nematoda; Chromadorea; Rhabditida; Criconematidae
Description: SSU rRNA
Rfam family: Eukaryotic small subunit ribosomal RNA
Source: RNAcentral